This 401-nucleotide ribosomal RNA is filed under the name uncultured bacterium. Its description in RNAcentral is "bacterial SSU rRNA". It matches the Rfam family "Bacterial small subunit ribosomal RNA", at positions 356 to 773 of the family's 1533-position model. The record is from RNAcentral.
GGGGAAUAUUGCGCAAUGGAGGGAACUCUGACGCAGCGACGCCGCGUGAAGGAUGAAGGCUUUCGGGUUGUAAACUUCUGUCCUCAGGGAAGAGAAAGGACGGUACCUGAGGAGGAAGCCACGGCUAACUACGUGCCAGCAGCCGCGGUAAUACGUAGGUGGCAAGCGUUGUCCGGAAUUACUGGGUGUAAAGGGCGUGUAGGCGGGAAUGCAAGUUGGAUGUGAAAUACCAGGGCUCAACCCUGGGGGUGCAUCCAAAACUGUGUUUCUUGAGUACUGGAGAGGAAAGUGGAAUUCCUAGUGUAGCGGUGAAAUGCAUAGAUAUUAGGAGGAACACCAGUGGCGAAGGCGGCUUUCUGGACAGUAACUGACGCUGAGGCGCGAAAGCACGGGGAGCAAAC